CAGUCGCCGCGGGAAAACGGAGGGUGCAAGCGUUAAUCGGAAUUACUGGGCGUAAAGCGUGCGUAGGCGGUUCGUUAAGUCUGUUGUGAAAGCCCCGGGCUCAACCUGGGAAUGGCAAUGGAUACUGGCGAGCUAGAGUGUGUCAGAGGAUGGUGGAAUUCCCGGUGUAGCGGUGAAAUGCGUAGAGAUCGGGAGGAACAUCAGUGGCGAAGGCGGCCAUCUGGGACAACACUGACGCUGAGGCACGAAAGCGUGGGGAGCAAACAGGAUUAGAUACCCGCGUAGUCCCUGUCUCUUAUAC
RNAcentral lists this ribosomal RNA (301 nucleotides) under uncultured bacterium. RNAcentral's name for it is "partial 16S ribosomal RNA". It matches the Rfam family "Bacterial small subunit ribosomal RNA", at positions 509 to 807 of the family's 1533-position model. The record is from RNAcentral.